This 522-nucleotide ribosomal RNA is filed under the name uncultured Glomeromycotina. Its description in RNAcentral is "SSU rRNA". It matches the Rfam family "Eukaryotic small subunit ribosomal RNA", at positions 569 to 1092 of the family's 1831-position model. Lineage: Eukaryota; Fungi; Glomeromycota. The record is from RNAcentral.
AGCAGCCGCGGUAAUUCCAGCUCCAAUAGCGUAUAUUAAAGUUGUUGCAGUUAAAAAGCUUGUAGUUGAAUUUUGGGGUUAGUAGGUUGGUCAUGCCUUUGGUAUGUACUGGUCUCACUGAUUCCUCCUUCCUGAUGAACCUUAAUGCCAUUAAUUUGGUGUUUUGGGGAAUUUGGACUGUUACUUUGAAAAAAUUAGAGUGUUUAAAGCAAGCUAACGCUUGAAUACAUUAGCAUGGAAUAAUGAAAUAGGACGUUCGAUCCUAUUUUGUUGGUUUCUAGGAUUGACGUAAUGAUUAAUAGGGAUAGUUGGGGGCAUUAGUAUUCAAUUGUCAGAGGUGAAAUUCUUGGAUUUAUUGAAGACUAACUACUGCGAAAGCAUUUGCCAAGGAUGUUUUCAUUAAUCAAGAACGAAAGUUAGGGGAUCGAAGACGAUCAGAUACCGUCGUAGUCUUAACCAUAAACUAUGCCGACUAGGGAUCGGAUGAUGUUAAUUUUUUAAUGACUCAUUCGGCGCCUUACG